Molecule: long non-coding RNA, 3304 nt
Organism: Cercocebus atys (sooty mangabey)
Lineage: Eukaryota; Metazoa; Chordata; Mammalia; Primates; Cercopithecidae
Exons: 4
Source: RefSeq, a predicted model, not a curated record
UGUUUUACUUAUGUGUGGAGGAAUCCUGGCCGGGGCUGGUCACUGGGAGGGCAAGGACUAUGUCCCCCUCGUUCCUUCUCAUCCCAGAGCUCAGCCCUGGGCAGCCCAUCUUGGGCCCCAGUAAUGAUCCAGUGCUUCCAACCCCUUUGCUGAGAUCCAGCCCCAGUGUGAAAAGGCUUCCUGCUCAUCUUCUUCAAUCUAUUGUUUCUCAUGGUAAUCUAGAAACCUGAGUGGGUUCUGAUCCAAGGUCACAGGAGAAUAGGGGGGCUCCUGAAGUCACUGAAGUUUCCCCUCAUCUCUACUCUGGCUGCCUUGGUUCAGCUUUUCUCCUGCAGAAGAUGCUUCUUUCUGUUUACAAGUCCUGCUCUGCUGGACCAGGCGUUUUUAUUCUUGUUGUGGCAUCCCUGCACUUCAAAGGGGACCUGGAACUUGUUCCUGUGCCCCUGAAGUACCCAUCCAUGAAUGAUCAGAUCAGAGCAAACCACUCUGCCAGGAAUCAGCAGGGGGGAGAGUCACAUCUCCCUCACCUUUGGGUUUAGACCUGUGCAUUCCAGUGUGUUCCUCCGUGGCAUAUGUGCCCAUUCGUGUUUAAAUAAAUGAAAAAUUCAUAACCUCCUCACAAGAGCCAUACUAUAAGUUCCCAGUUGCCAAAUGUCUACUCUUAAGAGAGCAUCUCCAUUCUCCCUGAAUCACCUGGGAAGCAGCUGCUGUGAGUCUGGCCCAGAUUCUGUUCACUGCACUCACCUGACUCAGUGCAUGUGCAUCAAGGCUGGAAUCUCGGGUUCUCAGACUGGACGUAAGAGAUGUUCUGAGCCAGUGUCGGUGAACAGUUGAAAGGGAUUAUUCAGUUUCUCUGUCUCACCUGAAGGCUCCCAACUGUGAGCAGGGCCUUCCUAAUGGCCCCUGAGUUCACAGAGCCCAGGGAGAAUCACCGUGGACUGAGCAGUAGUGCCGACGUUUGUGUCUCUGUACUUGGGCUCAUGGGCACCACCUCUGGAUCCAUCCAGGGGGAAAUAGACUGGUCAGGUAGGGACCGACACUCCAGGGUUGACCAGUGAGGAGGGUUCUUGAGGAUUGGGUGACAUUUGUUUUGGAGCCUGGGGUGGGAUCAGUGAAGUGACUAAAUAUGAAAGGAAAUAGGUGUAGAAGUCUGACUUGGGAUUUUUUGUAUCUUAAUGAGAAAGUUGUAAGAGUUUUGUUCUCAUGAGCUUUGUGUGAGUUGUGGUGUCACCAUCAUUUCUUGCUCUGGUGUUUAAAGAUUGCAUUUUGCAAAGACCAGAUCAUUCCUGCCUUUGCCACAGCAAGCACCAGAGCCCUGGGUUUGAUGAGGCAGCAUUUUGUUGUGAAUGGAGAUGACAAGAUGAGUAUGCAGGUGUAACGUUGAGUGUCGGGGGGGACACAGCCCCUCACAGGUGCUACGUGAUCCUGACGACAAAGUCCUUCAUACGUGUGCCAGGAGCUGAAAGGAGCCCACCCUCUUUCUCUACACUCUCGGGACCUGCAACGGCACCUUCCCGUCCUGUCCUCAGCGUCUGCUGCUGCUCUAAGGGUGCUCCCUGGGUGGGAUGACACAGGGAGUCCUUCCUCUGGGAUUGCUGCGUGUGCCCCGGCAUCCUGGAGUCCUCAGGGCGGGACACUUGACUGAGCACAGUUUUGGCCUCUGCUCCUCACCCAAUCCCAUCCAAUCCCAAAUCCGUGGGCUUUGAAUGAAACCUACAUUGGCUUUCAUUGGAGAGAGAGGCCCGAGUCCAGCUGUGGCUCAAGGCCCUCUGUGGCUGGCAGGAAUCCUCGGGGAUAUGUGUGGAGGGGCUGCUGUGUUGCUGCAGGCAGUGGCUCUCGCCCUCCCUGUAGCCUGGUCCCUGGAAUCCACUGGGCCCAGGGCAGAGCCUCUGGGCAGCCACCACAGGGGUCACUUGUCUUGUGACACCCUCCUCUCUGGCCCAACAGCCUUGUCCUGCUCCCCACACUCCAGUCAGGCCCAGCUUUUUCUGUGUGUCAGGCCUGCCAGGUGCCCUCCCACUUAGUCUUCCCACAGCUCAGGCAAACCCUGGGAGGCCCCCUCAUUUCUGUGCUGACAACUGCUGACCUCACCUGCAGAUUAAAGCAACUGGGACAAGAGGCUUUAUCUUGAAUUCUGUUCCAUUGUUUCCAAAUACUCAGAAGCUGGUGGGAUUCGUUUGACGACUGAAUAUUUUCCAAGCCUCUAAGGUCAUUCCAGGCGUAGAACAGUCACUGUAUCUGUGACGUCAUUCAUCAUCAGCUCCCACAGCCCCCAACACAACCCCAGGCCUGUGGACAUCGGUCAUGAUCACCUCCCACGGGCCCCAACACAACCCCAGGCCUGACUGAAUCUGUGGCAUUGGCCAUCAUUGCCUCCCACAGCCCCCAACACAACCCAGGCCUGGGCAGGUGCUGCCGACCCAGGGUGCAAUCUGUGUGUUGACUGGAGGCUGGCAGUGCAGCCUUGGCCUUCUUUCCGAUGUUCUAUUGGAGACCAGUAGGACUGGUGGAGGUCCACAAGGAGGAAGGAAAUGGGAUUCAUGAGGGAACAGAAGCAGGCCCUACAGGAGGAGGAGGGAGGGAUUCCACGUCAUGCACAACGUUGUGAAGAGGGCGGCCGCCUCUUGGAGGAACAGAAUGACACGGCUUCCCCUCCCUUGGCUCAGUUAUGGAAUGUGAGGGCUGGGAAAGUGUGUGGGAAGUCGGAGGUCCCUCCCUCGUAGCACAGAGGAAAUGAUACGGACUGUGGAGAAGUCUCCAGAAAUGGGCACAUCAGAGGCUCUGGGGUUGGCUCCACAGCCCCAGGACAGCGGAGUCUGAGGGGUUCUCUCGACAAUAACUCUCCCCUUUCCUUCUUACGGCUGCCCCCAUCACCGCUUCUCCUCCGGACACUCUGAUGCUUGCUUCCCAGAACUGGAAGACUCCACCAUUACAGGCAGCCACCAGCAGAUGUCAGCAAGUUCCUCCUCUGCACCUGCAGAAGCAGCAACAGAAAAGACAAAAGUGGAAGAGGAAGUGAAAACCAGGAAGAAAACCAGGAAGCCCAGGAAGAAAACCUGGCGGAAUGUCCUGAGCCGUUGGGACAUUUUUAAUAUAUUUUAGAGACCUCUGAAGAUUCCACGAACACCAGGAAGGGGCCUGAUGUGGGGAUGUCAACUUGGCUCAGACUUGAUGUGGAUCGUGAUUGUUUCAGGAACUGUGUUACUCCAAAAACUUUUAUAAUCUUUGCUUAAUUUGUUUUUAAAUAUUUUCCUGGCUGGGCACGGUGGCUCGUGCCUGUAAUCCCAGCACUUUGGGAGGCCGA